Molecule: ribosomal RNA, 396 nt
Filed under: uncultured bacterium
Lineage: Bacteria
Description: bacterial SSU rRNA
Rfam family: Bacterial small subunit ribosomal RNA
Source: RNAcentral
GUGCCAGCAGCCGCGGUAAGACGAACCGUGCGAACGUUAUUCGGAAUCACUGGGCUUAAAGCGCGUGUAGGCGGAUGGGAACGUCGGUCUUUGAAAGCCCCCGGCUCAACCGGGGAAGUGGAGCCGAAACGACCGAUCUGGAGGGACGUAGGGGGACCUGGAACUUCCGGUGGAGCGGUGAAAUGCGUUGAGAUCGGAAGGAACGCCCGUGGCGAAAGCGAGGUCCUGGACGUCUGCUGACGCUGAGACGCGAAAGCUAGGGGAGCAAACGGGAUUAGAUACCCCGGUAGUCCUAGCCGUAAACGAUGGGCACUGGGUAGGGGGCUCGCCGAUGGGCUCUCUGCCGGAGCGAAAGCGUGAAGUGCCCCGCCUGGGGAGUAUGGUCGCAAGGCUGAA